This 1706-nucleotide long non-coding RNA is filed under the name Ananas comosus (pineapple). RNAcentral's name for it is "long non-coding RNA (ACOM_LNC032672)". Lineage: Eukaryota; Viridiplantae; Streptophyta; Magnoliopsida; Poales; Bromeliaceae. The record is from RNAcentral.
UAAACCCAAAUCAAAAUGAAACCAGUCCAUGUUAAACCUGAAUCCAAACCCAAUAGCCAACCUACACAAAUAAACCAAACCCAAUCCAAUUAUUUAUCCAAAUUGAUCCAAGCCGAACCCAACCCAAUUAAUUCCAAUCCAAAUGAGCCCAUAUCAAACCUUUUCUCUAGCAUAUAUAACUAGAGCUAAAUCUUAACAUAUUCAAACUCGAUCAAAUUCUAAAAUAUUUAAUUAGAUUUGAUCAAACCAUAUACAAGGUUUCACCCGAUCAAAUCAAUUGAGCUCUAAUAUAUAUACUUAGAGUUCAUUAAAUUAAACUCUAAUACAUACACUUAGAGUUUAAACUUUAACUAAUCCUAACUUAUAAAAUUAGGAUUUAGUUGAUUCAUCUCUUGAUUAGACUCCAACACAUAUACUUAGAGUUUAAUUUCGGCUAAUCCUAACACAUAUAAUUAGGAUUUGGUCCGUAUCUCGCUACAUGGUGGACAUAAAUUCAUCUUACGGCGAACCCAAAUGAAAUUAAAUUGGACUCUAAUAUAUACAUUUAGAGUUUAAUUUAAAAUAUUUUGACUAAUCCUAACAUAUGUAAUUAGGAUUUAGUUCAUGUGAAACCAAAUUAGACUCUAAUACAUACACUUAGAGUUUAAUUUAAAUCAAAUUUUGACUAGUCCUAAUACAUAUAAUUAGGAUUUAGUUAAUAUUUGGCUUUAUGGUGAACUUAAUUGUGCUCGAACAUAUAAGCAUAGAGCUUAAUUAUACUAGACUUUAAAAUAUAAAAUUAGAGUCUAAUCCAAAAUAUUUCAAAUCUCGUUGGACUUUAUCACAUAUAUUUAAAGUUCAAUUAACUAAAUCAAACUCUAAUUCAUUUAAUUAGAGUUUAAUUUGAAUCAAAUCUGAUUAAAUUCCAAUGUAUAUACUGGGAAUUUAACCAACCUUUCAUCUUAGGAUGAAUAAUAUCUUGGUUCAGAAUCAAAUUCAAUCAACCGUCAUACUGAAUUAUGUUAUAAAAUUCAUCUUUUAUUCAAUCACAGCAUUACAAAGGUCUCUUAAUCGAAGGUGCCCUAACACUUUGUAGGGGUAAUUAACAAUAGACGCUUGCGUUUAUUGGAAGCCAUGAAUCCACAAAACCUGAUAACCAUACAUAUUUAAAUAUUAAUCUGAAUCAUGAAUACUACCCCAUGGCCUGAAAUCCAUUAGCCGUGUGAGGUGCGUCAUUUGUGGUCGCAGACAGUUACAUUAUCGGCCGCCAAUGUAACCCUCCGCGAAGUUAGAAGCAUACACUUCGAUUUAACUCCACUUUCUAGAGUUAUCAAAGAUACCCAAUCAAGAUACUUUCGCUUAUAAGUCAAAUAGACCUCAUCUCUCACGAGCCUAUUUUCUAUAGUCCAACCGGCCUAAGGUCUACUAGGUCCACUAAGACUUAACCCUAGGCUCUGAUACCAAAAUAAUCCGUCAUGCCCCAGGGCCCAGCGAAAGUCCGCCCGGCACGUGUUCAGACCCGCUAUAUGUCUAAAAUAUAUAAGGCGUCUACGAUAAAGCAAUAAAUAAAACAAUAAUACAAAGAGAUCUAGCGAUAUCAGAGCAAAGUACUAUUAGAUUCUACAACAGGAGAGUACAACAAAAGCUAAAAUUCACUAAAUUAAACCAUAAAGUAGAACAACAAAAAUCCGAGUACAAGUGCUAUAAGUGGUCCAAUGGUGGUCUCU